UGAUGGCUGUUCCUCUCACAUUUUGUUUCGGUGGCUGUCUGGAGUCUUAGGUGGUGGGAUUUUAGUCCAUCGUAUGUCUAAGCUGGCUGGUCUCCCCUCAGGACACCAUGGGGUUGGCUGGGCUGUCCGUUUGUGCCUUCUGAUUUUCGUGGAGUCACACAAUU
Molecule: small nucleolar RNA, 164 nt
Organism: Hippopotamus amphibius kiboko
Lineage: Eukaryota; Metazoa; Chordata; Mammalia; Artiodactyla; Hippopotamidae
Product: small nucleolar RNA SNORA79
Exons: 1
Source: RefSeq, a predicted model, not a curated record